AGCAGUGUGGCAAAGUGGUAAGGCACGGGGCUUGUAACCGAAAGGUUGCUGGUUCGAUUCCCCACUGGGG
This is a non-coding RNA of Megalops atlanticus (tarpon), 70 nucleotides long. The record is from the annotation of a GenBank genome assembly. Lineage: Eukaryota; Metazoa; Chordata; Actinopteri; Elopiformes; Megalopidae.